Molecule: long non-coding RNA, 1286 nt
Organism: Heterocephalus glaber (naked mole-rat)
Lineage: Eukaryota; Metazoa; Chordata; Mammalia; Rodentia; Bathyergidae
Source: Ensembl
GUAGGAUUGUUGGAGUUAGGAUCAUUGUUAGGUAAAAGAUAGUGUUCUGUUACCUGUCCCUGAACAUUUCAGUGUGUCUGUGAGGGUUAGUGUUAGGGCUACCAUUCCAGCUAGGGUUUAGGGGUAGGGUCGGGGUGAUAGAUAGCUUGAAAUUGAAAUGCCUGUGUCUUCAAGUGUGGGGUAGCAAGUCAUUAAUGUGUAAGUACAUGGUGAGGAUUUGGGAAAAUGUAGAAUUCAAGUACCUCGGUGUUGGAAUUUGGUCCUGCUCCUUAGGGUUAUGUUUAGGCCUAGGUUCCGGUUUAGGGUUCGAAGAUAUGUUCCUGAGGUUUGGAGUGUGUCUGUGAUGUUUAGAGAAAGGGUUCUUCUUUUGGUAAGUGUCAUGGAUAGUGCUGAAAUAGCGGCACCUGAACAUGACUUCUGGGCAUUACGGUUUGUGUCAGAAUUCGGUUUAGGAUUCGGGAUCUCACGUGGAUCAAGUACUUGGUUAUUGGAGUGUGAGUAGUAUUGUUAGAGUUAGCCUCAGUGUUAAGUAAGGGGUAGUGUUUUUUUUCCAUGUUUCUGGCCAUUGCAGUGUGGCUCUGAUGGGUAGUGUUGUGUUCCAGUUUUAGCUAGGGUUAGGGUUUGGGUUGGGGUGAUAGGUAGCAUUGAAAUUGCAAUGCCUGUGUCUUCAAGUGUGGGUUUGAAAGUGAGUAUUAGCGUAAGUUCGUGGUGAGGGUUUGGUGUAAUGUAGAAUUUCAAGUCCCUGGGUAUUGGAAUGUGGUCCUGCUGCAUAGAUUUCGGGUUAGGAUUCCUUUUAGGUUUAGGGUUCCAAUGCAUGUACCUGAGGUUUGGAGUGUGGGUAUGAGGAGUUUUAGGUUUAGGGAUCCUCUGUUGGGAAAUGUCAGAUAGUGCAGAAGCCCAGGUCCCUGAAAAUCACUUCUGGACAAUACGGUUUGUGUCCGAAUUCAGCUGACAGUUAGGGAUGGCACGUGGAUCAAGUACCUGGUUAUUGUAGUGUGAGUAAGAUUGUUCGUGUUAGGAUUAUUGUUAGGUAAGAUAUAGUGUAAUUUUAUAUGUUCCUGGACUUUGCAGUGUGUCUCUGAUGGGUAGUUGUAGGGUUAGCGAUGUAGCUCGGGAUAGGCUUAGGUUUGGGGUCCUAAACGGCGUUGACACUGAAAUGCCUGUGUCUUCCAGUGUGGCUUGCGUGUUAGUACCAGCAUAAGUCCAUGCUGGGGGUUAGGGAUAAUGUAGAAUUUCAGUUUCCUGGGUAUUGGGAUUUCAUCCUGCUGCUUAGGUUGAGGGUCAAG